GAUGAACGCUGGCGGCGUGCCUAAUACAUGCAAGUCGAGCGAACAGACGAGGAGCUUGCUCCUCUGACGUUAGCGGCGGACGGGUGAGUAACACGUGGAUAACCUACCUAUAAGACUGGGAUAACUUCGGGAAACCGGAGCUAAUACCGGAUAACAUGUUGAACCGCAUGGUUCAACAGUGAAAGACGGUCUUGCUGUCACUUAUAGAUGGAUCCGCGCCGCAUUAGCUAGUUGGUAAGGUAACGGCUUACCAAGGCAACGAUGCGUAGCCGACCUGAGAGGGGGAUAGGCCACACUGGAACUGAGACAGGGUCCAGACUCCUACGGGAGGCAGCAGUAGGGAAUCGUCCGCAAUGGGCGAAAGCCUGACGGAGCAACGCCGCGUGAGAGAAGAAGGUCUUCGGAUCGUAAAACUCUGUUAUUAGGGAAGAACAAAUGUGUAAGUAACUAUGCACGUCUUGACGGUACCUAAUCAGAAAGCCACGGCUAACUACGUG
RNAcentral lists this ribosomal RNA (497 nucleotides) under uncultured bacterium. RNAcentral describes it as "partial 16S ribosomal RNA". It matches the Rfam family "Bacterial small subunit ribosomal RNA", at positions 28 to 507 of the family's 1533-position model. The record is from RNAcentral.